Molecule: ribosomal RNA, 460 nt
Filed under: uncultured bacterium
Lineage: Bacteria
Description: partial 16S ribosomal RNA
Rfam family: Bacterial small subunit ribosomal RNA
Source: RNAcentral
CCUACGGGAGGCUGCAGUGAGGAAUAUUGGUCAAUGGACGGAAGUCUGAACCAGCCAUGCCGCGUGCAGGAAGACGGCUCUAUGAGUUGUAAACUGCUUUUGUACAAGGGUAAACCUGAAUACGUGUAUUCAGCUGAAAGUACUGUACGAAUAAGGAUCGGCUAACUCCGUGCCAGCAGCCGCGGUAAUACGGAGGAUCCAAGCGUUAUCCGGAUUUAUUGGGUUUAAAGGGUGCGUAGGCGGAUUGAUAAGUUAGAGGUGAAAUUUCCGGGCUUAACCCGGGAACUGCCUCUAAUACUGGUGAUCUAGAGAGUAGAUGCGGUAGGCGGAAUGUAUGGUGUAGCGGUGAAAUGCUUAGAGAUCAGACAGAACACCGAUUGCGAAGGCAGCUUACCAAUCUAUAUCUGACGUUGAGGCACGAAAGCGUGGGGAGCAAACAGGAUUAGAUACCCUAGUAGUC